Myripristis murdjan (pinecone soldierfish) is the source of this 133-nucleotide small nucleolar RNA. Its record names the gene SNORA75. It matches the Rfam family "Small nucleolar RNA SNORA75". Rfam says of the family: U23 belongs to the H/ACA class of snoRNAs. snoRNAs bind a number of proteins (including dyskerin, Gar1p and Nop10p in the case of the H/ACA class) to form snoRNP complexes. This class are thought to guide the sites of modification of uridines to pseudouridines by forming direct base pairing interactions with substrate RNAs. Targets include ribosomal and spliceosomal RNAs as well as the Trypanosoma spliced leader RNA (SL RNA) as possibly other, still unknown cellular RNAs. Lineage: Eukaryota; Metazoa; Chordata; Actinopteri; Holocentriformes; Holocentridae. The record is from Ensembl.
UUCUUCUCAUGAGCUCCUCUCUGUCCAUCAGUGACGGUGUACGGAUUCGCACGAGAAGUAGAGCAAACAUCACAAGAAUCAGUCAGCUACCUCAGCCUCACUGGGAGCUGCUUCUAUCUGAUGUGGAACAGAC